GCGGGCUUCUGCCUAGGGAAGUAGAAAAACAAAGCCGGGAGCGUCGCCACGGCAAUUGGAAAACUUCAGGAGCUUUUAAGCGGUCUAGGUGUUAGAAAGUGUUUGGCGUCGUGAAGGAAAUACCUGCCAACGUAGAGAAGGGUCGUCGGAAUCUUGGAAGUGAUGAGGUGAUGCCUUCCUUUACUCUUGGGAAACUGCAGCCGGCGGAUGAAGACAGGAAUCCGGGCUUCCCUGGUGGCGCAGUGGUUGAGAGUCCGCCUGCCGGUGCAGGGGACACACGGGUUCGUGCCCUGGUCCGGGAGGAUCCCACAUGCUGUGGAGUGGCUGGGCCUGUGAGCCAUGGCCGCUGAGCCUGCACGUCUGGAGCCUGUGCUCCGCAAUGGGAGAGGCCACAACAAUGAGAGGCCCUCGUACCGCAAAGGGAAGAAAGAGAAAGGAAAAAAAAAAAAAAAAAAGACAGGAAUCUGUAGUAUAUAUACUGGUUCAUGGCAAUAUUUACUUAAUUCAUUAUGAACAUCUCCUCAUGUCAUUUAAUAUUCUUCUUCGAUUAAAAUUCCAUCAGGUGACUGUGCCUUUGGGUAUUAUGUCUCACAAUUCAACCAGUUUCCUACUCUUGGGCGUUGAGGUUGUUUCAGUUUCUUUGAAAGAUUCAGGGACGUAAAUGGGCUGCUGCUUUCCUUAUAUGACAGGGUGCUCUGGGAAUGUCUGUUGAACCAAAGGUACUGGCUGCUGGCCUUCUCUGCAGAGAGGCUGAUAAAGUCGCCAGGCAUUCUUUUCUCUGUGGCCUGGAAUUGCAGAGCUAAGAAAGCCAGGGAAGCCUGAAAGCUCCUGUAGGGUAGCCCCUUCACCCCUGCUCCCCCCAGAGUUUCCUCCUUUUCAACCUGAAGAAAAGGUAUUGAGAUGAAAGAAAUUGAGGGAGGGGUUGGAAAUCAGGGCUCAAUUAAUAAAACCUCACAAAACUGCUGGCAUAUGUGUCUCCAAUUUACAGAUGAGGAAAGUAAGGCACAGAGACAAUCUGUGCAAACCUGCACAGCUACUUAGAGAGUCCGAGUUUGACUUGGUUCUGAAAUUUGAACUCUCCCCACCAUGCUUCCUACUUCUAAAAACGGAUGGCUAUAACUUCAUUCUUCUUUUUUUUUUUUUCUGUGAGAAAUUUGUUGUCAGUCUCCUAAGAUUUAUUGGUUAUCUGCUCCCUUAAAAAAAAAUUCCCUCCUGACUGUCCAAGGAUUUCUUCUGCCUCUGGAUUUCCCAAGUUGGCUCCCUCUUUGCCAAAAGAAUAUAUCCUCAUUCUUUGAUAAAGAAUCAGACAACUUAGCUUUUGUUCACCCCUGCCUAACAUUUGCUAGUUUUCUUACCAAAGUGUCCUUACUGUAUGCCUUGGAAGGUCAAACUCAUAAAAGGAAGUUCUCAUAAAGCCUGCAUAAAGUUAACAAUAUUACACAUAGUUCCUUAGCUUUGGGGAUUUAUAAAGUAUGACUAUAUAGAGAGCAAUAAGUCUGUUUUUCUGGUUUGGUUAUAACCUGGUUCUAAAGGAAUUUCUAAAAGAGGCUUUACAAAAUUGUUUAGAGCCAUGCAGCAUCAUUAAAAUGGGUGUAUAACCUACCAAUAUGACACUUUUAAGGCAGUAACACAUAUUUGGAAGUGUAAUUUCUGGAAUGUUUUGUUAAAGGCUCUAUAUAUAAUCUAAUCAGAAUCAGUUUCAAUCAAGAAGAUACCUUUUCUCGCUCUCUUUUUUUUUUUUUUUAGUAUUUAUUUGGCUGUGCUGGGUCUUAGUUGCAGCACACGGGAUCUUUGUUGCGGCGCAUGGGCUUCUCUCUAGUUGUGGCACGGGGGCUCCAGAGCGUGAAGUCUCAGUAGUUAGUUGUCCCAGGCAUGUGGGAUCUUAGUUCCCCAACCAGGGAUCGAACCCGUGUCCCCUACACUGGAAGGCAGAUUCUUAACCACUGGACCACUAGGGAAGUCCCAAGAAGAUACCUUUUUUCCAUCCUCCCUGCCCCACCCCCCAUACUAUACCAGUACCCUAGCCCAAACUACCAUCACCUCUUGCAUGGAUUUUCUCAGUAGCUUCCUAACAAAUCUUCCUGAAUCCACUUUUGCUCUCUUUUAGCCAGGCAGGGUGAUCUUUGUGAUCAUGGUACAGCUAACCCCCUCCUUCCCCCAGCUUGAAACACUGCAAUAGCUUCCCACUGUCCCUGGUAUUGGCCUUCUUUCCUCUUCCCUAUGGCCAUUAGACCUUGGCACAAACAUUUUCCCUACCUAGAAUGCUCUUCCUUUCCAGGUAGUUAAAGCGCAGAAUAAGAACCCAAUUUUCCUAAUUCCCAGGCUGAAUCUCUAAUGUAAGUGUGUUCCUGGGGAUUAGUUGUUGUCCAGCAGGGGGAAAACAUGAUUUGGAGGUUCAAAGGAAAUUCAGUAGCGCAGGGGUUAAGAGUGUGGGCUUUGGGGCCAGUCCGCCUGGGUUCCAGUCCAGUACUAACCAUAUGAUCUUGGGCAAAUUUUUUUUUUUAACACCCUUGCCUUAUUUCUUCUGUUGUAUAAUGGGCCAUGGUAAGGUUAUCUACCUCAUAAAGCUAUAUUGUUUAAAUAAGUUAACACAUGGAAAGAGCUCAGUAAAUUUUAACUUUAACAAUAGUCUCAACAAUAGAUUAAGGGCCCAAUAUAAUUUCUUAUGUAGAGAGUAAAA
Orcinus orca (killer whale) is the source of this 2680-nucleotide long non-coding RNA. RefSeq lists it as uncharacterized. The record is from RefSeq and is a predicted model, not a curated record. NCBI's taxonomy places the organism in Eukaryota, Metazoa, Chordata, Mammalia, Artiodactyla, Delphinidae. The transcript has 2 exons.